UCAGAUUGAACGCUGCGGCAGGCCUAACACAUGCAAGUCGAGCGGAUGAAGGGAGCUUGCUCCUGGAUUCAGCGGCGGACGGGKGAGUAAUGCCUAGGAAUCUGCCUGGUAGUGGGGGAUAACGUCCGGAAACGGGCGCUAAUACCGCAUACGUCCUGAGGGAGAAAGUGGGGGAUCUUCGGACCUCRCGCUAUCAGAUGAGCCUAGGUCGGAUUAGCUAGUUGGUGGGGUAAAGGCCUACCAAGGCGACGAUCCGUAACUGGUCUGAGAGGAUGAUCAGUCACACUGGAACUGAGACACGGUCCAGACUCCUACGGGAGGCAGCAGUGGGGAAUAUUGGACAAUGGGCGAAAGCCUGAUCCAGCCAUGCCGCGUGUGUGAAGAAGGUCUUCGGAUUGUAAAGCACUUUAAGUUGGGAGGAAGGGCAGUAAGUUAAUACCUUGCUGUUUUGACGUUACCAACAGAAUAAGCACCGGCUAACUUCGUGCCAGCAGCCGCGGUAAUACGAAGGGUGCAAGCGUUAAUCGGAAUUACUGGGCGUAAAGCGCGCGUAGGUGGUUCAGCAAGUUGGAUGUGAAAUCCCCGGGCUCAACCUGGGAACUGCAUCCAAAACUACUGAGCUAGAGUACGGUAGAGGGUGGUGGAAUUUCCUGUGUAGCGGUGAAAUGCGUAGAUAUAGGAAGGAACACCAGUGGCGAAGGCGACCACCUGGACUGAUACUGACACUGAGGUGCGAAAGCGUGGGGAGCAAACAGGAUUAGAUACCCUGGUAGUCCACGCCGUAAACGAUGUCGACUAGCCGUUGGGAUCCUUGAGAUCUUAGUGGCGCAGCUAACGCGAUAAGU
RNAcentral lists this ribosomal RNA (845 nucleotides) under Pseudomonas aeruginosa. Its description in RNAcentral is "bacterial SSU rRNA". It matches the Rfam family "Bacterial small subunit ribosomal RNA", at positions 24 to 865 of the family's 1533-position model. Lineage: Bacteria; Pseudomonadati; Pseudomonadota; Gammaproteobacteria; Pseudomonadales; Pseudomonadaceae. The record is from RNAcentral.